Molecule: ribosomal RNA, 492 nt
Filed under: uncultured bacterium
Lineage: Bacteria
Description: partial 16S ribosomal RNA
Rfam family: Bacterial small subunit ribosomal RNA
Source: RNAcentral
AGUGAACGCUGGCGGUAGGCCUAACACAUGCAAGUCGAACGGCAGCACAGUAAGAGCUUGCUCUUACGGGUGGCGAGUGGCGGACGGGUGAGGAAUACAUCGGAAUCUACUUUUUCGUGGGGGAUAACGUAGGGAAACUUACGCUAAUACCGCAUACGACCUACGGGUGGAAGCAGGGGAUCUUCGGACCUUGCGCGAUUGAAUGAGCCGAUGUCGGAUUAGCUAGUUGGCGGGGUAAAGGCCCACCAAGGCGACGAUCCGUAGCUGGUCUGAGAGGAUGAUCAGCCACACUGGAACUGAGACACGGCCCAGACUCCUACGGGAGGCAGCAGUGGGGAAUAUUGGACAAUGGGCGCAAGCCUGAUCCAGCCAUACCGCGUGGGUGAAGAAGGCCUUCGGGUUGUAAAGCCCUUUUGUUGGGAAAGAAAAGCAGCAGGUUAAUACCCCGCUGUUCUGACGGUACCCAAAGAAUAAGCACCGGCUAACUUCGUG